GGUCGACCUGCAGGCGGCCGCGAAUUCACUAGUGAUUGGCUCAGAUUGAACGCUGGCGGCAGGCUUAACACAUGCAAGUCGAGCGGUUUAGUUAGCUUGCUAACUAGAUAGCGGCGAACGGGUGAGUAAUGCCUAGGAAUCUGCCUGAUAGUGGGGGAUAACGUUCGGAAACGAACGCUAAUACCGCAUACGUCCUGCGGGAGAAAGGGGGCUUUAUUGCUCUCGCUAACAGAUGAGCCUAGGUCAGAUUAGCUAGUUGGUGAGGUAAAGGCUCACCAAGGCGACGAUCUGUAGCGGGUCUGAGAGGAUGAUCCGCCACACUGGAACUGAGACACGGUCCAGACUCC
RNAcentral lists this ribosomal RNA (347 nucleotides) under uncultured bacterium. RNAcentral describes it as "bacterial SSU rRNA". It matches the Rfam family "Bacterial small subunit ribosomal RNA", at positions 1 to 339 of the family's 1533-position model. The record is from RNAcentral.